RNAcentral lists this ribosomal RNA (491 nucleotides) under uncultured bacterium. RNAcentral's name for it is "partial 16S ribosomal RNA". It matches the Rfam family "Bacterial small subunit ribosomal RNA", at positions 29 to 507 of the family's 1533-position model. The record is from RNAcentral.
AGUGAACGCUGGCGGUAGGCCUAACACAUGCAAGUCGAACGGCAGCACAGUAAGAGCUUGCUCUUACGGGUGGCGAGUGGCGGACGGGUGAGGAAUACAUCGGAAUCUACUUUUUCGUGGGGGAUAACGUAGGGAAACUUACGCUAAUACCGCAUACGACCUACGGUUGAAAGCAGGGGAUCUUCGGACCUUGCGCGAUUGAAUGAGCCGAUUUCGGAUUAGCUAGUUGGCGGGGUAAAGGCCCACCAAGGCGACGAUCCGUAGCUGGUCUGAGAGGAUGAUCACCCCCACGGGAACUGAGACACGGUCCAGACUCUGAGGGAAGGCAGCGUCGGGUAAUAUUGGCAAAUGGGGGGAAGCUUGAUCCAGCCACACCGGGUGGUUGAAGAAGCCCUUCGGGUUGUAAGGCCUUUUUGUUGGGAAAGAAAGGCAGCAGUUUAAACCCCGGCUGUUCGACCGGAACCAAAAGAAAAGCACCGGCUAACUUCGUG